Homarus americanus (American lobster) is the source of this 499-nucleotide long non-coding RNA. RefSeq lists it as uncharacterized. The record is from RefSeq and is a predicted model, not a curated record. Lineage: Eukaryota; Metazoa; Arthropoda; Malacostraca; Decapoda; Nephropidae. The transcript is spliced from 2 exons.
AUUUGAUGUGAGAGGGAGAGGGUUGUGCCGCUGUCCUCCGAGUUUGACCAGUGAUGUGACAGUAAUUCCAUAGAAACAUUGAAUUGGAAUUUUUUUCAGUACUGGGAAAAAAAAAUACAACACGUUUGAAAUAUUAAACAAAAAUAUAUUUGUCGAAGUGUUGGUGAUUAGAAAAAAAAAUAUAAAAUAAGAAUAAAUUUACGAGUGUUGUUGGAAAGUGAAGGAAAAAAAAAUUAGUGCAUUGGUGACGUGGUAAAGAAAAAUAAGACCUAUCUUCUUCUGGUGCUUCAGUGUUGAUGAAGCACCUGUAAGACUCUUUUGACCCUGCCUCAUACAGUGUUCCUGAUUGGUCAUAUUGGGUUCAUCUGUGUUACUGAUUGGUCAAACCUAAGUUCCUCUUGGUGUUGUUAUUGGUUAAAUCCAAAUCCAACGCUGCUGAUUGGUCUAAGGCAUUGACACAAAACAUUCCGAACAAUUAACGAAAAAAAGAAGAAGAAAA